CCCUCUCGUACGACCCCCUCACCCCCCAAUUUUCUUUCCCCCGUCCCGGUUUUCUCCCCCUGGCCUGCUCCUCACGCCGGCAUCCCGCGCCGCCGCUGCCGAGUGCUCCUCACGCCGGCGUCUCGCGCCGUCGUCCAGUAACCGCUCCCGCGCGCCCUAUCUCUCUUCUUCUCCCUUCUCCCUUCCUUUUCUCUCUCUCUCUCAAAUCUUGUCUCUCUCUGAUUCAGAAACAAUACCACCAUGGAUCCCGAUGUGGAGCUCCACUGCGGCCCGAUCUGACCUGGGAGCGACCAGAUCCGUCCGUCUUCGCCUCGCUCUGCGCGCCUCCAUGGUCCGCCGUCUUCCGGAGCGCCGGCCCGCGCUCAGCCGCCGCCGUCCCAUGCCAUGGUCGCCUCCCUCCAGAACGAUGUGCCAUGGCCGCCUCCCUGGCUCUAUCCGACAGCUCCGUUGGGGAAGCACCAAGACCCAAACUCCAAGUAUUCGUGGAUACAGGGAACAGUUAUGGUACAAAUAGACUUGAUUGUACUGAUAAUUUUCAGCUUGCACAUGGAUCCCUUAUAGUAUGCAAUCAAGCUUGAUGAUAAAUUCUUGGAGAGACGCUAGGUGCCAGGGGCAAGCUUGAAUUGGUAAGAUGGAUGGGGGGAGAAAAAGAGUCAACGUAAUUUUGAUUACCGAUGCCAGCUGCUCACUGUGCGCAUGGGAGAGGAGGUCAUGCGUGGAGGCUACUCGGAGAGGACUGGAUGCAUGUCCGUGUCCGCGCACUUGGAGCAGCAGCCAAUGGAUGGUUGGCCAGAGGAGGACCAGGGUUAUCCUAGACCACUUGAGGACAAUAUCAUCAAUUUCUUCCAUAGUGCAAUGCAAGUUCAAAAAUGCAGUUUCUGUUCUAUGCAUUUUUCGAAGUGUAUGUAUGUUGUAACUGAUUAACAAAACAUUGGUCAACCUUCUAUGAGUCCACCUAGGGAGCGGCACAGAUUUGGAACAACUUCCAGAACAGGCAUCCAAGCAUUUGGUCUGGUACCACUAAGCUGCCAGAGCAAGAUAGCUGGGAUGUCGAGUCCAUAGGGCAAUGGUAAAUCACAAAUUGGCUGAUGUUUGAUGGGAAGCAUCAGACAAUACCAAUGUUCAGUAGUAAGAUUUGAUUGUGCAGGUGAUCAACCCAAGUGUGUGUACAUCCCCUGUUAGUCCAGAUUUA
RNA transcript from Triticum dicoccoides, 1192 nucleotides. RefSeq lists it as uncharacterized. Lineage: Eukaryota; Viridiplantae; Streptophyta; Magnoliopsida; Poales; Poaceae. The transcript is spliced from 4 exons. The record is from RefSeq and is a predicted model, not a curated record.